CGCGCGGUGAUGACGCACUUCCGGGCGCCGGAAAGUGCACGCUCAUUUGGAUUCCGGGAGGAUUGAGGUGCUGAAGGAAAGCGGCGCCGGUCUGGAGAGACGUGCAGUGGCUUUGAGGGCGAAAAAAAAAGAAAAGGAAAAUUGUACGAGAAAGCAUGAGUACGGGCUCGCUGUUGUGCAGAUCUAAGGACUCGGACGGCUUCGUAACCGGAGGCUGGCUGCUAGGGAGGUCCCUCUCCAGGCUUUUUCUGUCCUCGAAACACGUUAUGAGAAGAGGAAUGUGGGAAAGAGAGAAAGGUUAAGUUAUGCCUUCUCCAAAGUCCUGUGAAACCACCACCAAGUCCUGAGACCCUUCGGUAGAAGAAGCAGGCGCGUAACCUCUCCUCCUCAAGGUCCCUCGGGUGUACAUCUCCGCUAGGGAGGGUUGUUUUCAUCUUCAAUUGUCUUUGGGCCAUCGCUCACUAGUACCUGUUGGCUUUGAGAGGGCUUGUGCACUCUUGUCUGCUUUUUCUUUGCGGGCAAAGCGGAUUUAUACAACACAGGACUUUCCUUUGUUGUAUAAAUACCAUUAACAACAGAUUUUGUAUUUUUUCUCUGACUGGCCCAUUUUUAUGAGCAAAAUACAGUUACCUAAAACACCCUGCAAGGUCGAUAGUGUUGAGCCCAAAAGUAAAGCUGUGUUUUGUUUCUAAACUUGGCUGUUUUUUCUCAGACACUAUAGUUUUUGUGAGACGGUGGUCCAUUUGAAGUUAAACAAAUUUUUUAUUUAUUUAUUUUAAAUUGUGUGUGUAUGUAUGUGCACAAGAGUGCAGGUGCCUACCCAAAGGCAUUAGAUCCCAUGGAGGUGAAGUUACAGAUGAUUGUGAGGGUGUUGGGAACCAAAAGUUGGGUCCUCUGGAAGAGACGUAAAUGCUCUUAACCACUGAGCCAUUUCUCCAACUCCAAAAGCUAUCGUUUUUAAAGAACCUAUAAAUGUUUAUUCCUCCAGGGAAUGACUCUACUUUAAUGUAUUUGUCACUGUUUCCUUUCUCCUCACCUGUUUGUUACUUUAGACUGCUAUAAAUGUAAUAUAUAAAUAUUAAAUAAUGUCUCUGACCCUCUAUGUGUCACCCAGUUUCGACAAUCCUCUCAUUACCUUUCCUUCCUUGAAUUAUUGGAUAUUUUGAAGAAAACCUAUGGUAGUUAGCAUCCAGGACUGUAGUUCUCUGACCAUCUCCCUCAUCUACAGUCAGUGACAUCUCUAUGGCUCUUGCCUGAGCCAUAAUUGGUUGAUACUUGUUGAUAAAAUGAAACAAUUGAUUGCUCUGACUGCUGUAAUGAAACACUUCAGGCUGGGCAGCUUAUAAACAACAGAAAUUUCUCAAAAUUCUGAAGGCAAUGAAAUCCAAGACCAAGACACCCUCAGUCUUUGGAGGUGGCUGACAUCCCUCACCAGAGUUCCUCACUGCUAAGUGAGGCACGUGAUAGAAAGGACAAUGAGCUUCCCCAAACCUGCUUUAUAAGAACACCAGUCAUACCGUAAGGACCCCACCCUAAACCCUGCCAUCUCCCACUAUCGUUUCAAUAUGAACCAUCACACUCCCUAAAAUGUUGCUGUAGCUUUGGAGCCUAUGCUGGCACUCGCUCUAGAGACCAGGCUGGCCUCGAACUCACAGAGAUCCGCCUGCCUCUGCCUCCUGAGUGCUGGGAUUAAAGGCAUGUGCCACCAACGCCCGGCCUGAAUAGGUUCUUAAGGGUUGGGGCUUGGGUCAGUGAAAUGGCUCAAUGGAUAAUGGUCCUUACACCAAGCCAGAUUCAUCCCCAGGAUCCGUGUGAUUAAGGAGAGAGAUGAUUCCUGCAAGUUGUCCUCUGACCUCUAGACACAUGCUCACCCACACAAAGUAAAUAAAAUACAAAGAUUUUUAAGAUUUUUUUUUUUAAAUUUUAAGAUGGAGCCUGCUUGGGGGAAGUAGGUCACUGGGGCCAUAUCUUUGGAGGCUCUCUCUUCUCCUCCUCUUCCUCUACCUUCUUUUUCUCAGUCUUUCUAUAUCUCUCUUCCUGGCACUUAAGGCACACAUCCUCCGGGACUACAAGUUCCUGCCACCAUGGUGGUCAGCCUCACCAGAGUCCUGAAGCCCAUGGAGCCUGCCAGCCAAGGACUGACUCCUGAAAAUAUGAAGCAGUGCAAACCUGUACUCUUCAGAGCUGACCCAGGAUCGCCAAGAGAAGAGAGGAAAGGAAGGAAGGUGGGAAUGAGAAACAAGAGGAGGAAAAGAAGCCAGGAAGGAUGGUGCUCCUCAAGUGCAUAUGCCCUUCCCUCCAGGAUGGAUCAGCUCAUUCCCUGUGGUUUCAUUGGCCAGUUGUCCUGUGUUUCUGGAAUUCCUGGCAGUUCCAAGUCUCCAUUUCAGCUUAGACUUCACAUCCACAGCUUUACAUGUCCUCUUGGGGACUGCCUGUAGGAUCCUGAUUGUCACAUGCUGCCUGGCCUUCAAGCCUUCCUUUGAAAUACAGGUGUCCUCCCUCAGGACGUGUUGCAAGAUUGACUAAUACACAGCAGUGUCUCAACACGGUGAUGUGCACUGCAGGUGCUGGGAGCUCCAGAGCCACAAAGCAUUUAAGUGGCACCCAUCACUUUGACCUCAGACCACCUGUGUCGUGAUCUGGACUUCUUACCACCACAGCCAGUCCCAGACUACAUCCAGUUCUUUGCCCAAGGAUGGGAAAACAUUCGCAUGAGUGGAUUAACACUCCUUUGUCAAGGCAGCAGCAAGCACCUUCUUCAACAGCCCCCUUUCUCUCCCUGAAGCCCCUGAAAUCACUGUCUGCAGAAAAAAGACUGACCAGCUUCCUCUUUCUGACCCUAGAAAUUAAUUUGGGGAUGGAGGAGGAGUGU
Non-coding RNA from Cricetulus griseus (Chinese hamster), 2872 nucleotides. The record is from RefSeq and is a predicted model, not a curated record. NCBI's taxonomy places the organism in Eukaryota, Metazoa, Chordata, Mammalia, Rodentia, Cricetidae.